Molecule: ribosomal RNA, 465 nt
Filed under: uncultured bacterium
Lineage: Bacteria
Description: partial 16S ribosomal RNA
Rfam family: Bacterial small subunit ribosomal RNA
Source: RNAcentral
GACGAACGCUGGCGGCGUGCUUAACACAUGCAAGUCGUACGGUAAGGCCCUUUCGGGGGUACACGAGUGUCGAACGGGUGAGUAACACGUGAGUAACCUGCCCACAACUUUGGGAUAACGCUAGGAAACUGGUGCUAAUACUGGAUAUGUGCUCCUGCUGCAUGGUGGGGGUUGGAAAGCUCCGGCGGUUGUGGAUGGACUCGCGGCCUAUCAGCUUGUUGGUGGGGUAGUGGCCUACCAAGGCGGCGACGGGUAGCCGGCCUGAGAGGGUGACCGGCCACAUUGGGACUGAGAUACGGCCCAGACUCCUACGGGAGGCAGCAGUGGGGAAUAUUGCACAAUGGGCGCAAGCCUGAUGCAGCAACGCCGCGUGCGGGAUGACGGCCUUCGGGUUGUAAACCGCUUUCAGCAGGGACGAAGCUUUUUGUGACGGUACCUGCAGAAGAAGCACCGGCUAACUACGUG